RNAcentral lists this ribosomal RNA (502 nucleotides) under uncultured bacterium. Its description in RNAcentral is "partial 16S ribosomal RNA". It matches the Rfam family "Bacterial small subunit ribosomal RNA", at positions 28 to 507 of the family's 1533-position model. The record is from RNAcentral.
GACGAACGCUGGCGGCGUGCUUAACACAUGCAAGUCGAACGGUGAAGGGGUCUGCUUUUGUGGGCCCUGGAUGAGUGGCGAACGGGUGAGUAACACGUGAGUAACCUGUCCCCUUCUUCUGGAUAACCGCAUGAAAGUGUGGCUAAUACGGGAUAUUCUGGGUCUGUCGCAUGAUGGGUCUGGGAAAGAUUGCGCCUUUGGGUGUUUUUGGUGGGGGAUGGGCUCGCGGCCUAUCAGCUUGUUGGUGGGGUGAUGGCCUACCAAGGCGGUGACGGGUAGCCGGCCUGAGAGGGUGGACGGUCACACUGGGACUGAGACACGGCCCAGACUCCUACGGGAGGCAGCAGUGGGGAAUAGUGCACAAUGGGCGCAAGCCUGAUGCAGCGACGCCGCGUGAGGGAUGGAGGCCUUCGGGGUGUAAACCUCUUUCGCCAGUGAAGCAGGCCUGCUCCUUGUGGGUGGGUUGACGGUAGCUGGAGAAGAAGCGCCGGCUAACUACGUG